Molecule: ribosomal RNA, 254 nt
Filed under: uncultured bacterium
Lineage: Bacteria
Description: partial 16S ribosomal RNA
Rfam family: Bacterial small subunit ribosomal RNA
Source: RNAcentral
UACAGAGGGUGCGAACGUUGUUCGGAAUUACUGGGCAUAAAGCGCGCGUAGGCGGCGACGUAAGUGUCUUGUGAAAUCCCACGGCUCACCCGUGUGAAUUGUGAGGCAUACUGCGUUGCUAGAGUGUGGUAGGGGAGAGCGGAACUCCUGGUGGAGCGGUGAAAUGCGUAGAUAUCAGGAGGAACACCGGUGGCGAAGGCGGCUCUCUGGUCCACUACUGACGCUGAGGUGCGAAAGCUAGGGUAGCGAACGGG